UACGGAAGGCAGCAGUGGGGAAUAUUGCACAAUGGGCGCAAGCCUGAUGCAGCCAUGCCGCGUGUAUGAAGAAGGCCUUCGGGUUGUAAAGUACUUUCAGUCGUGAGGAAGGUGUUAAGGUUAAUAACCUUAGCAAUUGACGUUAGCGACAGAAGAAGCACCGGCUAACUCCGUGCCAGCAGCCGCGGUAAUACGGAGGGUGCGAGCGUUAAUCGGAAUUACUGGGCGUAAAGGGCACGCGGGCGGUUAAUUAAGUUGGAUGUGAAAUCCCCGGGCUUAACCUGGGAAUGGCAUUCAAGACUGGUUAGCUAGAGUCUUGUAGAGGGGGUAGAAUUCCAUGUGUAGCGGUGAAAUGCGUAGAGAUGUGGAGGAAUACCGGUGGCGAAGGCGGCCCCUGGACAAAGACUGACGCUCAUGUGCGAAAGCGUGGGGAGCAAACAGGGAUUAGAUACC
RNAcentral lists this ribosomal RNA (453 nucleotides) under uncultured bacterium. RNAcentral's name for it is "bacterial SSU rRNA". It matches the Rfam family "Bacterial small subunit ribosomal RNA", at positions 340 to 786 of the family's 1533-position model. The record is from RNAcentral.